ACCCCUUGGCUAUGGGCAAAGAGACACCUGAUUGGUGGCGGUGCUCUUCAAUCAGUCAGGGACAGAGCCAACUUGAAGUCCUUUGGUCAUCCUAGCUUGAAGUCUGGAUUGUGGCCAGAGCUGUUUCAUGCCAAGGGCACAUUU
RNAcentral lists this small nucleolar RNA (144 nucleotides) under Echinops telfairi (small Madagascar hedgehog). Its description in RNAcentral is "Small nucleolar RNA SNORA48 (ENSETEG00000025855.1)". It matches the Rfam family "Small nucleolar RNA SNORA48". From Rfam's summary of the family: The snoRNA ACA 48 has been identified to guide pseudouridylation of the residue U3797 in the 28S rRNA subunit. Its host gene EIF4A1 (eukaryotic translation initiation factor 4A1) is shared with U67 and snoRNA mgU6-77 The record is from RNAcentral. Lineage: Eukaryota; Metazoa; Chordata; Mammalia; Afrosoricida; Tenrecidae.